Molecule: ribosomal RNA, 468 nt
Filed under: uncultured bacterium
Lineage: Bacteria
Description: partial 16S ribosomal RNA
Rfam family: Bacterial small subunit ribosomal RNA
Source: RNAcentral
GACGAACGCUGGCGGCGUGCUUAACACAUGCAAGUCGAACGGAAAGGCCCUGCUUUUGUGGGGUGCUCGAGUGGCGAACGGGUGAGUAACACGUGAGUAACCUGCCCUUGACUUUGGGAUAACGUCAGGAAACUGGGGCUAAUACCGGAUAGGAGCUCCUGCUGCAUGGUGGGGGUUGGAAAGUUUCGGCGGUUGGGGAUGGACUCGCGGCUUAUCAGCUUGUUGGUGGGGUAGUGGCUUACCAAGGCUUUGACGGGUAGCCGGACUGAGAGGGUGACCGGACACGUUGGGACUGAGAUACGGCACAGACUCCUACGGGAGGCAGUAGUGGGGCAUAUUGCACCAUGGGCGGACGCCUGAUGCAGCAACGACGCGUGCGGGAUGACGGCCUUCGGGUUGUAAACCGCUUUCGCCUGUGACGAAGCGUGAGUGACGGUAAUGGGUCAAGAAGCAGCGGCUACCUAGGUG